RNAcentral lists this ribosomal RNA (662 nucleotides) under uncultured Cyanobacterium sp. RNAcentral's name for it is "bacterial SSU rRNA". It matches the Rfam family "Bacterial small subunit ribosomal RNA", at positions 99 to 795 of the family's 1533-position model. The record is from RNAcentral. Lineage: Bacteria; Bacillati; Cyanobacteriota; Cyanophyceae; Chroococcales; Geminocystaceae.
CGGACGGGUGAGUAACGCGUGAGAAUCUGCCCUCAGGAGGGGGAUAACGGCUGGAAACGGCCGCUAAUACCCCAUAUGCCGAGAGGUGAAAUGAAUUUCGCCUGAGGAUGAGCUCGCGUCUGAUUAGCUAGUUGGUGAGGUAAGGGCUCACCAAGGCUUCGAUCAGUAGCUGGUCUGAGAGGAUGAUCAGCCACACUGGGACUGAGACACGGCCCAGACUCCUACGGGAGGCAGCAGUGGGGAAUUUUCCGCAAUGGGCGAAAGCCUGACGGAGCAACGCCGCGUGAGGGAUGAAGGCCUCUGGGCUGUAAACCUCUUUUAUCAAGGAAGAAGAUCUGACGGUACCUGAUGAAUAAGCCACGGCUAAUUCCGUGCCAGCAGCCGCGGUAAUACGGGAGUGGCAAGCGUUAUCCGGAAUUAUUGGGCGUAAAGCGUCCGCAGGCGGUUUUGAAAGUCUGUUGUUAAAGCGUGGAGCUUAACUCCAUUUGAGCAAUGGAAACUACAAGACUAGAGUGUGGUAGGGGCAGAGGGAAUUCCCGGUGUAGUGGUGAAAUGCGUAGAUAUCGGGAAGAACACCAGUGGCGAAGGCGCUCUGCUGGGCCAUAACUGACGCUCAUGGACGAAAGCCAGGGGAGCGAAAGGGAUUAGAUACCCCUGUAGUC